GUCCAGACUCCUACGGGAGGCAGCAGUGGGGGAUAUUGCACAAUGGGGGGAACCCUGAUGCAGCGACGCCGCGUGAGUGAAGAAGUAUUUCGGUAUGUAAAGCUCUAUCAGCAGGGAAGAAGAAAGACGGUACCUGAGUAAGAAGCCCCGGCUAACUACGUGCCAGCAGCCGCGGUAAUACGUAGGGGGCAAGCGUUAUCCGGAUUUACUGGGUGUAAAGGGAGCGUAGACGGUAUGGCAAGUCUGAAGUGAAAGCCCCGGGCUCAACCUGGGAAUUGCUUUGGAAACUGUUAAACUAGAGUGCUGGAGAGGCAGGCGGAAUUCCUAGUGUAGCGGUGAAAUGCGUAGAUAUUAGGAGGAACACCAGUGGCGAAGGCGGCUUACUGGACUGUAACUGACGUUGAGGCUCGAAAGCGUGGGGAGCAAACAGGAUUAGAUACCCGAGUAA
This 448-nucleotide ribosomal RNA is filed under the name uncultured bacterium. Its description in RNAcentral is "bacterial SSU rRNA". It matches the Rfam family "Bacterial small subunit ribosomal RNA", at positions 329 to 793 of the family's 1533-position model. The record is from RNAcentral.